GUUAUGGAUGAGGUAAAUACUUUUUUGCCUCAACUUCUACUCAUUUAUAAAAGUGGUUGACAUGCAUAAACUAUUUGAAAAGUUACAAUCCUUUUAAAUGAGAACAAACAAAUUUUCAAUUAUAUUCUCUUCGUAUGUUCAUUCUGUUUCUUUAGUAGUAAGAGUUGGUUCCUAAUCCCUUCUUUUACAUUGCUUUUUGUUUGGUUUCAGGCUAAUAAGCUUUUGUCCCCAGAAUUCCAAUCUUCUAUAGUUGUUAUUAAUUUUAAUUUUUCCAAGAAUUCAGAAACUUAUCUCCAUAGGAUAUACUGAUUUUUCCUCAUUCCCUUCCUAAUUUAUUUACCUUGACACUGAUUUCCUGUUCUAAUGGAUCAUAUACGGAUAUACAGGUCGGUCGCUCAGGAAGGUUUGGGCAUCUUGGUUUAGCAGUUAACUUUAUCACUUAUUGGGACCGCUUUAAUUUGAUUGAACAAGAAUUUGGAAUUGAAAUAAAGCAAAUUCCACCACACAUUGACCAGGUAUGACAGGAUGGAGUUUAAUAUUAGCCUUUUAACUGGCAGAUAUUUUGCUGGGUUCAGUUUGGGUUUUCCUUAAUUUCAUUUUCAGAUGUGUUUGUUGCUAACAUUAGUAACAUGCUGGGCCCUGUUUGGCA
Non-coding RNA from Arachis ipaensis, 649 nucleotides. The record is from RefSeq and is a predicted model, not a curated record. NCBI's taxonomy places the organism in Eukaryota, Viridiplantae, Streptophyta, Magnoliopsida, Fabales, Fabaceae.